UAAUACGUAGGUCGCAAGCGUUGUCCGGAUUUACUGGGCGUAAAGAGCGCGCAGGCGGCUGGCCAAGUCCGUUGUGAAAGCUUCCGGCUUAACCGGGAAAUUGCAACGGAAACUGGUCGGCUUGAAGGUGGGAGAGGGUAGCGGAAUUCCCGGUGUAGUGGUGAAAUGCGUAGAUAUCGGGAGGAACACCAGUGGCGAAGGCGGCUACCUGGCCCAUUCUUGACGCUGAGGCGCGAAAGCUAGGGGAGCGAACGGG
This 256-nucleotide ribosomal RNA is filed under the name uncultured archaeon. Its description in RNAcentral is "partial 16S ribosomal RNA". It matches the Rfam family "Bacterial small subunit ribosomal RNA", at positions 521 to 776 of the family's 1533-position model. The record is from RNAcentral.